AGGUGGCGGGUCCGCCCGUACCCUAAACCGACACUGGUGGAUAGGUAGAGUAUACCGAGGCGAUCGAGUGAAUCGUGGUGAAGGAACUCGGCAAAAUGCCCCCGUAACUUUGGGAUAAGGGGGACCUGAGCUGUCGUGCACCCGUGCGGUGUGGUGGCGGUGAGGGGCGCAGAGUCCAGGGGGAAACGACUGUUUACCAAAAACAC
RNAcentral lists this ribosomal RNA (206 nucleotides) under Enterococcus faecium. Its description in RNAcentral is "partial 23S ribosomal RNA". It matches the Rfam family "Bacterial large subunit ribosomal RNA", at positions 1627 to 1816 of the family's 2925-position model. The record is from RNAcentral. Lineage: Bacteria; Bacillati; Bacillota; Bacilli; Lactobacillales; Enterococcaceae.